Long non-coding RNA from Brachypodium distachyon (stiff brome), 4567 nucleotides. RefSeq lists it as uncharacterized. NCBI's taxonomy places the organism in Eukaryota, Viridiplantae, Streptophyta, Magnoliopsida, Poales, Poaceae. The record is from RefSeq and is a predicted model, not a curated record. The transcript is spliced from 8 exons.
CUCGCCGCGAUCCCCUACCCCCUCUCCCUGCCGCGCUCCCGUCCCCCUUCUCUCUCUUUCUCUCUCUCUCUCUCUCUCUCUCUCUCUCUCUCUCUCUUCUGCCGCCCUUCCCUCACCGUGUCGCGUGCCACAAAAAGGAGGCAGCUUUCGGUGGCGGGGAGGCCGGAUCCGGCGGCGCGGCGAGCCCGGCAGCUCGUGAAGGCGGCGGUGUGGCGAGCGGCGGCGUGGCGAGCCCGGCAGCUCCUGAAGGCGGCGACGCGACGAUAGAAGGGGAGGAGGAGCAGCUCCUCAAGGCGGCGACGACGACGACGACUAGCAGCUCGUCAAAACGGCCACGAGGACAAGGAGCAUCUUCUCAUGGCCAUGGCCGACAAGGCAAGAUCUAUAAGUAUGUCUCCAUCGACCCCGGCUCCCCUGAUGCGCCUAUCAUGCACGCCCUUGCUUUGAGCUUUGCCAGUGGUCAUGUCCAAGGCGGCGACCCUUGCUUGCCUUCGCCGUGGUCUUGGGUCCAAUGCACUGCCUCUAAGCCACAACCAAGAGUCGUUUCCAUAGAUCUUUCAGGCAAGAACUUGACGGGGAGCAUACCACCGGAACUAGCAGCUCUGCCAUGCUUAGUACAAAUCCGACUUGACAACAACAUGCUGACGGGCCCAAUUCCAGAUCUCAGUGCCGCUUCAAACCUGUAAAUCAUAGGAGUAUUUGUUCUUCUUUGAGGAGGUGAGGAUCCAGAAGAGGCUACAGAAGUUAGUUGCAUUUGCUUUUCUUCAUGAUCAAGGAGAGGAGCAGCAGUUCAAGUUUUUUUUCAGCACCAUCUACAGGAGUAAUUGCUGUUGGGCAUGUCCUACUGCCACUCUGAACAUUGGGUACUGCUGUCUUCCUACUCCUAAGAUAAGUACUCCUACAUUGGGUACUUAGCAUUUUUUUGUUUAAUUAAUGCCCCUGCCUCUGAUUGUUUCUGUACUCUGAUCUUGUUCUUGUUUAAUUAAUGCCUGUGCCUCUAAUUGUUUCUGUACUCUGGUUUCCUAUGCUCUCAGUAUGGAUUAUGCUAAUGUACUCCAUGAUCUGGUAGGAGUAACAGACUAGCAUGAGUAGAUUGUGCUCCUGUAGGACUAAUAUACUCACUCCUUUGCUAUGCUCUCUGAUUUUUACUCUGUAUACCAUGUGCUCUCUGUUUUUGAUUAUGCUAAUGUACUCUAUGAUCUGGUAGGAGUAUCAUUUUCUGAAGUUGAUUGAUUAGCCUUGAUUCUGCUAAAUCCAGAUUAGCCUAUGCUUCUCUGCUUGUUCCUUAUUAGCAUGGGUAAAAUCGUAGGAGUGGCAUCAUCUGUAGUAUCAUGAUCUGAACCUAAUCUAUUCUCUUCUCUCUUACCUCUCCUAUCUUAUCUCUUCUGAACCUGAAUCUAUUCUCUCAACCUGAAUUUAAAUUUACCUAAACCUGAAUUGAAGUCUGAACCUAAACAUAAAUUUAAAUCAGAACUUAAAUCACCUAGACCUAACCCUGAACCAUGUACAGAACCUUAAACCUGAACUUAAACUGAACCUUAAACCUGAACCACAUAAAUUUAAAAACUGAACUUAAACUGAAUCUAAUCCACUUAAACCUGAACUUAAAAUCUGAACCAUGUAUAGAACCUUAAACCUGAACUUUAAAAGCUGAACUUAAACUGAAUCUAACUUAAACUUUAAGAGCUGAAUCCAAUAAAGAAUGACACCUCUCAUUGAAUUGAUUGUACAAUUAAACUGAAACUUAACUGAACUUUAACCUGAACCAUGUAGAGAUCACAGUGCACAUCCAUACAACAAGGACUUUACUGUACUUUAACUGAACUUUAACUGAAAUUAAACUGAAACUUAACUGAACUUUAACUGAAUUUAAACUGCACUUUAACUGAACCUGAACUUUAACUGAAAUUAAGUCCAGCAGCUUCUCUUCUCUUCUCUUCUCUUCUCUUCACUGGUUCAACAGUGCUAAAGUGUUCUCGUACAGUUCAGCGUCACAAUCUAGAGAAGCAGAUAAGUUUCCUUCCCUCUGCAUUCUAUCCUUGUUUAGGUGCUGGAUCUUGUAUCCAUUGCCACCUUGUUCUUUCAUAACCUCUAGCAUGCAUGACUGGAGUGUUAUGAAAACUCUAGCCAGCUUGUUCGCGUCAUAAUUAUUAAAUUCUUCCUCCACAUUUUGUAUUAGUUCCUUAAUAGUUGUAGGUACUCUGCAAUCUGUUAGGGAUUGAAUGGACCUGAAAAAUCCUAAGUCGAGCACAUUCAUAUCCGGAGAGUUUGCUGGCUGCUGCAUCAGUUGAAUGUCCAGGUCAGUUUCUGAUACCACUUGUAGGAAAGCUUCAUCAUUAGGUAGCACAUGAGUUCUUGCGUUGUCCUGCUGUAUUAAAAAUGUUUUCCCAAUAUCUUCAUCAGGCCACAUGUUCUGUAUAGCUGGAACAACUUUACCACACAUAAACUGCCUCAUGACUUCCCGGUUCACAUUAAUUGACUUAAUUUCUAAUGUCCCCCUCUCUCUAUUCUGACUACUCCUGACUGCUGGAGUUUCCUUCACAAAUGGCCACACCCUAUUUUGCCAUCAAAGAUUAUAGCACCAUUUUCAUCAUACCUAGGUCUUGCCACCGCCGUUAGAAACAUUACUUUCCCAAUGCUGUUCUUAUUAUGAACAGUGCGCAAGGGGGAUGUUUCUAAAGGAUAGAGGUAAUAGGUGGCUUUCUUCUUCGUCAUAUCAAACCACUCUUCAUUGAUAUGCACUAUGUUGGUCAUAUCUUUAAGGUUGGCCUUGCAUUUCCUAGUGUUUCUUCAUCCAACAUGGAAAUGCAGAAUUUCAAUCUUGAUAUUCUGUUUUCUGCCUUAAGUGUGGGCUUUAAGGUGCUAGUGCAGCGCUUUAUAUCUCCCCAUUGGAACCUUCUGUGCAGCGUUGUACAACUAACACUCAUAGCCCUAGCUAGUGCUCUUACUGUUCUCCUUCUGUUUAGCGGUAUUGUAGCAAUCCUAGAGAGAUCUAGAUCAGCUCGCUUGCGGCCUGCUCUGCCCUUUUUUUUGUUAGAAAGGUCAAGAGGUAGGUCUUGUGCAAUCUGCUCGUGUGCUAGUUUCCAUAUUCUCUCCACUGUUCUAACAGUUGUAUCCAAAAGAUUGGCAACAUGCACCUUGUCCUUUAAUAGUAUCUGUCCAUUUAUGCUUAGUGCCUUCAAUGCAAUAUAAGCACUAAAUCUGUGUUCAUUUGGCAGGUCCCUUCGUCGUUGUUGUUGAGCACCAGCAAAAGACCAAAACAUAAGUUAUUCUCCAUGUAACAACUCUAGUUUCAGUACUGUACUCCAUUUCAGAAAACUUGCUGUCGUUACAUGGUGUGUAGAUGGAGAACAAAUCUGAACAAUAAUAUGCACAUACUCUAUUCUGAACAAAUCUAACCUGAGAGUAAUCUAGAGGUUAAUUUACUCCUACAUUUUCAGCUUUAAAGAUUGAUUACAACUGGGAGUAAUCUACAGUUGUGAUUCAUUUGCAUAAGAAACAAAUCUAUAGUACUCCAUGCACAAACAUGUGAUGGUUAAGAAACAAAUCCGUUCAGUUUGUUUGAGUUACCUGCUGCAGUUCUAUCUUGCUGGGUUAUAUCUUCAUCUUCUUGCUGAGCUAUAUCUUCAUCUACUUGUUGUUUCUUGCUGAGCUAUAUCUUCAUCUACUUGCUGUUCUUGCAGCAUUGAAUUGUGCUUCAUCUGCUUGAUUGAACCGCUACAUGGCGAGGCUGUAGGAUGCUAGUGAAGGCAGAGGCGGAGCUCUGUUGCAGAUGGGGGAUGGCGGCAGACCAAGCGAAGGCAGAGGCAGAGCUCUGCCGCAGAUGGGAGAUUGCGGCACGCCCAGCGAAGGCACAAGCAAAUGGGCGAUGGAGAUGCCGGGCGGCGUAGCUCGUCUGCGGGCGACGGCAGGCAAGAGGCGAUGGCGGCGGGCGACGGCAUCGCGCGGCGGGCGACGGCAUAGUGUUCCUGGCGGCUGAUCCUUAGUUGCUCAGGCACAUAAGUUACCUGCUGCUUCAUGCAUCAUCUCCAGGAGGGCUCAGGUUCAGGUCUGGUAUGGCCAUGCUUAUGAAGAGAAGAAAAAAUGGUGAUCCUCAGGACUGCAGUUCAAAUCUGGCAGCCACAAGAGAGCUGGGCUGGCUGGAGACAAGCCGGAGGAGGUCUGGAGCCGCAGGAGAACUUGUGGAGAGUGGCGUGGCGCCAGGCCUGCAGAGGUGAGGCCGGAGGCGAUCUGGAGAGGGCUGGAGGCGACCUGGAGAUGGGAGGUUGGAGGCAACCUGGAGAUGGGCAGCAGGCGACCUGGAGAGGGGAGGUUGGAGGCGAGCUAGAGGGUGGAGGUUGGAGGCGACCUGGACUAGAGGAGCCGACCUGGAGAGGGGUGGCGGAGGCGACCUGGAGAGGAGAGGCACAUGCGACAGUUUGAAUUUUGAAUGUUGUAAUAUGAAAUCUGUAAUUUUUAUAUUUGUGAGGAUGUUUUUGUAAAAUUGACCUCCUGAAGAGGCUGCCACAAGAAUAUCGGAACAGAGAGAGUACUUAAAUCUUUUCAUUUGGAAAACCUUCUCAUCUAA